AGCCUAACGGCUGAACCAGCAACUUGGAGGAAUGUAUAGCAAUAGCUACUUGUAUCAUUAAUGAUGCAAGCUCGACUAUGUUGAAUAAAGUUCUAGGUAGAAUUAUGAUAAUGACAUUGUCUGCCUAUGUGUCUUGACCAAAUUACGUGCCAGCAGUCGCGGUAAUACGUAGAAGACUAGUGUUAUUCAUGUUUAAUCGGUUUAAAGGGUACCUAGACGGUGAAUCAAGCUUUAAAUUAAAUAAGAAAAGGGACUAAUUCGCUAGAGUUACUUACGAGGGGGUAUUAAAGUACUGCUGGUGUAGAGAUGAAAUUCUGUCAUACCUCUUUUCGAAAGAAAAAUCAUGGCACAGGUAUAGGCGAAGGCAUCCCCUUAUGUGAUAACUGACGUUGAGGGACGAAGGCUUCGUGUAACAAACAGGAUUAGAUACCCUAGUAGUUGAAGCAGAAAAUGAUGAAUGUCAUAGAUUAGACGUCUAAGUUUAUUCUAUAAAUGAAAGUGUAAGCAUUCCACCUCAUGAGUAAUUUGGCAACAUUGGAAUUGAAAUCAUUAGACCGUUUCUGAAACCAGUAGUGAAGUAUGUUGUUUAAUUUGAUAAUCCGCAAAAAACCUUACCACAAUUUGAAUAUUUAUAUUCUUUAUUGUUAUCUCAUUAAUUUUCUUCCUUUUUUUUACUUGCGAAGCAUUAAAAAACUAAACAAUUAAAAACCAAAAACAGGAAAAGAGAAUAAAAUUAAUCAAGAGGCAAUAACAUAUAUCUACAAGCGUUGCACGGCUGUCUUCAGUUAAUGUCGCGAGACUUUGGUUAGUUCCAUUAAAUUAACGUAAACCCUUACUUUAUUUUUUAUAUAGAGUAGUUCCCCGCUAUAUUGGAUAUGAUAACAGGGAUCAAGACAAGUCAUCAUGGCCUAAAUAUU
RNAcentral lists this ribosomal RNA (917 nucleotides) under Parmotrema reticulatum. RNAcentral describes it as "SSU rRNA". It matches the Rfam family "Bacterial small subunit ribosomal RNA", at positions 373 to 1208 of the family's 1533-position model. The record is from RNAcentral. Lineage: Eukaryota; Fungi; Ascomycota; Lecanoromycetes; Lecanorales; Parmeliaceae.